GACGAACGCUGGCGGCGUGCUUAACACAUGCAAGUCGAACGGAAAGGCCCUGCUUUUGUGGGGUGCUCGAGUGGCGAACGGGUGAGUAACACGUGAGUAACCUGCCCUUGACUUUGGGAUAACUUCAGGAAACUGGGGCUAAUACCGGAUAGGAGCUCCUGCUGCAUGGUGGGGGUUGGAAAGUUUCGGCGGUUGGGGAUGGACUGGCGGCUUAUAGGAUUGUUGGGUGGGUAGUGGCUUACCAAGGCUUUGCGGGGUAGCAGGGCUGGUAGGGUGACCGGACAAAUUGGGAUGGAGCUACGACACAGACUCCUACGGGAGGCAGCAGUGGGGAAUAGUGCACAAUGGGCGGAAGCCUGAUGCAGCAACGCCGCGUGCGGGAUGACGGCCUUCGGGUUGUAAACCGAUUUCGCCUGUGACGAAGCGUGAGUGACGGUAAUGGGUAAAGAAGCACCGGCUAACUACGUG
Molecule: ribosomal RNA, 468 nt
Filed under: uncultured bacterium
Lineage: Bacteria
Description: partial 16S ribosomal RNA
Rfam family: Bacterial small subunit ribosomal RNA
Source: RNAcentral